Molecule: long non-coding RNA, 4399 nt
Filed under: Mytilus galloprovincialis (Mediterranean mussel)
Lineage: Eukaryota; Metazoa; Mollusca; Bivalvia; Mytilida; Mytilidae
Source: RNAcentral
UUAAGCCUACAUCCUUUAUUAUAAAAUCAACAUGAUAUGAGAGAUUGUUGUACAAUGAUUGUAUAUUCUAAUUUAAAUUUUCAUCUUUCAUCAUCAAAUUAUAGAAUAUAGGCUACAGGGGAGUGAUGUGUAAAUUGAUAAAUGAUUUCAAACAAAAUAAACUCUUUUUUUUAGGAAAAUCACAAGUAUAAAUUAUUCUCAUUUUAUCCUUUAAAAUUGUUUGCAAAGUUCCAGUGUGUUGUCUGAAAAUUUGAAUUAAGUACUUUAUAUACACAAUAAUCAUAUGACCCAGCAAUAAAUGAUUUGGUAUAAAAUUCUAUGAAUGAUUCACUCACAAUUAAAUAUCUAAUUCAAUUUAAUUCGGUCAACUUGAUUCAAGUUGAAAAGUAACCGUGAUUCUUAUCAAAAGUAAAAUAAAAAUUCAUCAUAAAAUCGAAUCAUCUAUAUCAUAAAACAAUAAACAACUUAUUUCUGCAAUAGGAACAAAAAAUUACCAAAUUAUUAUUUUUUUAAGUGUCUACAGCACUAUUUAAUUUACAUGUAUCAACAAUUUGAAUAUCAGAUAAAAGGAUUCACUGCAAAAAAUCAAAUACAGGAUGUAUUAUAAGUGAUUUUACAUAUUUGUACUUGGUAUAUAUGUGUGUACUAUUCUGGUUAUAUCAUUUAAUAAUAUAACUAAAAUGAGAAAAACAAAAAAGAAACAAAAUCUAAAAGUAACAACAAAAAUAUACAACUUUAAAUAACAACUAAAACAAAAUUAAAAAUAAGAUAUACAAAUGUCUCUAUAAUUGGUUAAAUAAUCUUAGGCCACUUUUAAAAAUGGUUGUGUUUCUAAAACCAUAGAAAUUUUCUUCAUAAAAGAAAGGAACUGACAAGUUUUCAGUAAUACAUAGACUCAAACUAGACACAGAAAUUAUUUCGGCAGUGUCUAGAGCUAUCAUAUUUCUGCUGCAGCUAUUUGUUUUUACAUACAGAAAAUCAACAUUUGAGAAAUUGAUUUUCCUAAAGUAAGUUGAUGCUUGAAUCUAUAAGUAUACCAAUAUGGUGAGAUGGGAGGUUGAAAUUGCUAACAGGGUUAGUUCAACUUAAGGUGAUACCCAACACCUUGACUAAAUUAAUUUGGCUUGUUUAAUUUUCACAAAAUAUUUUCUUUGACCCUUUGAAAAAAAUAUUAAAAUUUCAAAAAACUUGAACCAAUCACUUCCUCGGAAAAAAAUGGUUGGAUAUAUAGCAGUUUGACACUAAUUUUGAUCAUUGAGAAGCUAAAUAUUUCGUUAACAAUACAACGUGAUUAAAAUGUUUAGCUGAUUUUACAGAGUUUUUUCCCUGAAGUGUUAGGUACCACCUUCAAAGACAGAAAAAAAAUAAAAAUAAAGUAUAUAUUCUUACAAAUGUCAAUUCAGCUUCUCAGGAAAGAUUAUAAUUUGUUUUUAAUUUUACAACAUGGUUUAAAAUUAAUAUAUUACAUAUUAAUAGUAAUAAAGCAAUAAUAAGCUGCAAUUGUUUCAUAUUAUGGCUCUAAAUUGGCAGCUGUAUUCUAAUAGAGUUCUAAACAAACCAAUGAAAGUUAAAGUAAUGAUUACAACUUUAUUCAAUAAUGAUAUAACAAAUUUAUAAUGAGAAAUGUACAUUGUACAUAUAUUAAUUAUGAAUGCACAUAUAGAAAGGUCUAUGUAUGAAUUCCCAUACGAUUUAGAGUAGUUAAAUUUCUGCUAGGAGCUUAUUUUAUAAAUUAAAUAGUUGUGUAUUCAAAACUCAUCAUAAUAUAUAUGUGUGUAGCACAUGCUCAGUACCUUUUUGUCAUUAGGAUACAGAAGAAUCCCUUAUUUGGACUAGAGACAAUUAGAGUGAUUUAGAACCUUCUCAAAACUUUUCCCAGUAUGCUAGGUAGCUCUCAGUUUGAGUUUUGCAGCUCACAGGGAAAGCCAUACAUAACUUUAUGAUAAUAAAAAAACAAAUUACCAAAACAGUCUACUGUAUGAUUAGUCAGGAACAGAAUUAAUAAGUAAUUUGUAAUACUUAAAUGAGGUCAAGGGUUUCUGGCAUGUAUCUGAUAACUAAAUAGCCACAGACAUCUUCCAAUAAAUUAAAGUCUGUCUUAUGAUUGUUUAUGUGAUAGAUUACACUGUCAUUAGAAGAAGUAUCUAUGUCUGUCCUCUAACAAGAAUUGAAACAUUUCAUAAAUGGUAGUACUCAUGGGAAGAUUGUUUCAUUAGGGCAAAUAUUUAGAAACCAGGGGCAGAUCCAGGAUUUUCGGUUAGGGGGGCGCAAACUUAAUUUUCUGACGAGCAGAGCGAGGCGAAAUUUUUUUUGAGGUAUUAUUAUCGAAAUUAUUGAAAUAUUCUUCUAGAGAGGGUGUAAUGUAGAUAUCUUACCAAGCGUGGCGAGAAAUAAAUAUUUUGUGGUAAAAUUAGCGAGAAAUUUAAGUUUCCAGCUAAACCCGCACAAAUUCACCCCUUGCAAUCUGCAAUCACCAUAAUUAACAAGAAAUCUGUGAGCUUCUAUUCAUUGACUCAAUAAUAGCUCACCGACCAAUAUAAGAUUUUGAAAACAAGAAUUUCUUCUUUUGCCAUGCAGCAAUUUUAAUUGUCUUUUCUUAAUUUUUCUUUUCUUCUAUUUCCGGAGGUCGUGUCAAACUUUUUAUAUACAUUUCUACCGCAAACCAGUAAAAUCAGAAUGAGGUCCUUGCGAAGAUAUAUUUAUUUUCGUGGGAUCCUAUGUAAUACGGUAGUACGGGUUGGGGCCUUUACCAUGUAUGUAUGCUUCGGCAAACUUUACAGGUUGAAAGUGACAAACAUAUAUAGAUAUCAUACAGAGAUAUUAAACAAUGAUACAAAUUAAUAAACGGACCUUUAGCUUGAACCAGUAUUCCUAUCUUUCAUUAAGAGAGAAUUUAAACAGGACUGUUUUCUUGGCCGUGCCAUAAUGAAAUAACCUACCCAACCGCGGGUUUAUAGAACUUAUAAAUAAACCGUAGGUCAGUUUAUUAGUUAUCACGUUGAUUUUGUUAAACUUACUGUUUUAUACACUUCUUUGAAUGUUAAAACAGAUGCAAUGCGACGAGAUUGAUAUUCGUCGUCUGUUCAGAUACUUUGUUGAGCUGAGGACAACCCAUGCUUUGCAAAUUUUAGGGGGGGCGCACGCCCGCCAUGCCCCUGCCUAAAUCUGCCCCUGGAAACUGAUAUUUAAUAUCUUUUAUCAUUACGCAUAAUAUUUAAUUUGUUUAUAGCAUUACCGGUAUAACAUUAUCUAUUUGUAUUUUCAUCCCGUAGAAAAGUUUACAUGUUCUAGUUCUAUUUUUAAAAUUUGUCAUUUAUGACAGAAAAAUUAUACAAAUUUUCCUAACACAUUUCAUCCAACAUGUAAAUAGAAAAUUAUGGCAUUUGCUAUACAAACUAAAUUGUAAAUAGAUGAUAAUGUUUCUAAAAACGUCUCUCAUUUAAAAGAAAAGUUUUGAGAUCUUUGAAAAUAUCAUAAAAUUAUACAAGAGUGUAAAAAUAGAAUUUAACAAUGGAAUGGACAAGUACAGGUUAUAUGCAGUCUGGAAUAACAUAUCAAUGAGAUAGUCAUACACAAUAAAAAAAAUAAUGGUUCUCUUCCACAGACUUGUGAUAUUUAUUGAAAAAUGAAACUUUUACCUUUUUUUUGGUCUAAUAAUUGACAAUAAAAAAUAUCAAAAUCCAUUAUAUGUGACGAGUCAAUCUCUUGUACAAAUGAAAAAAGUGGUAUACAUGUAUAUACGAUUGCCAAUGAGACAACUGUACACAAAAAAAUCAAAUGACACAGAAAUAAACAACUUUAGGUCACCAUAUUGCCUUCAACAAUGAGCAAAGCCCAUACCAAAAUUUACAUGAAAAUGUGACCUGUUACACUUCAUCAUUUACAUUGUAGCUGUAGCUUCUUAAUUAUGCUUUUGCUGGUAAAUGCAUGUGAUUGUUUUUUUAACAUAUACAUGUACGCUGAAUAUACAAAUAAUAUUGAAUUUUCAUUUAUUUAAUAAUAAAUAUAAAAAAAAAGAUGUCAUAAAGUCUUAAUAUCUUAAAUUGAUGUACACAAAGAUUCAGGAACUAAAAUUAAGCUGUAAGGAAAGUUGGGGAUGCAUACAAAAAAUGAUAGUUAAAGCUUGGUACAUGCAUUGAGAGGAGGCAAUUAUGUUUGUAGAAAUCAAAGUUUGUUUUAUCAGACACACAAUUUAAAAAUAAAUUAAAACAAACAACUUAAUAGUCGCCGCUUCUCCUAACUACAAUAUUUAAUAUAUCUAAUAUUCUUAUUAAUAUAAAUGCAAAUCACAUUUUAUAUAUAUAAAAUUCUAGCUAUAUCUCAAUCUUAAAUAUCUUAAAUACAUUUACUUCAAAGUUUUGAUACUUAAAAUUUCAAAGAUCAUAGAUAUUUAAAAAAA